GAUCAUGGCUCAGGAUGAACGCUAGCUACAGGCUUAACACAUGCAAGUCGAGGGGCAGCAUGUUGGUUGCUUGCAACCAACGAUGGCGACCGGCGCACUGGUGAGUAACGCGUAUCCAACCUUCCGCAUACUCGGGAAUAGCCUUUCGAAAGAAAGAUUAAUGCCCGAUGGUUUCCCGAAUCCGCAUGAGAGCGGGAAUAAAGAUUCAUCGGUAUGCGAUGGGGAUGCCG
Molecule: ribosomal RNA, 230 nt
Filed under: uncultured bacterium
Lineage: Bacteria
Description: partial 16S ribosomal RNA
Rfam family: Bacterial small subunit ribosomal RNA
Source: RNAcentral